This is a long non-coding RNA of Populus nigra (black poplar), 1330 nucleotides long. RefSeq lists it as uncharacterized. Lineage: Eukaryota; Viridiplantae; Streptophyta; Magnoliopsida; Malpighiales; Salicaceae. The transcript is spliced from 3 exons. The record is from RefSeq and is a predicted model, not a curated record.
GUAAAAGGUACAUAAUAGCGAUACAAUUUCUAAGAAACUGAGCGAGAAGCCAUGAAUGGACCUCCCUAGAGGAAAUUGCUUGUCUGUAAUCUGUUAUAAAAGCAGCGUUAUAGAUGCUUAAGUUAGCUCGAUAUAGGCAAAGAGGAGCAUGGAUUCCAUGAAUUGAAAGAAUAGAUAGUCAGCAAACAGAGAGCUGGAAGAAUAACCGACUGAUCAAUAUAGACAGGCGAGAUUAGCAGGGGGAAAAAGCGCAUAUGAGAGAUCCAGAAAGGGACAUGGCAAGAUAAAUUUUUAAAGAAAUGUGAAAAGAAACAAGCAAAACUAAGAGAGGAAACUAGCCCGGGGGAGCUUUGCCAACCAGCAGCAUCCACCAGAUUUUGGAACUUGGCAUGAAGCCUAUGUUGGUUUGCAGCUAUCUGCAAAGAGAUUAGAUUAGUUCAACCCACUUUUAGCCUAUGUUGGUUUCCAUGUGCCUCUCUCAUAUGCGUUUUUGUCCCUCGGCCGAUCUCAUCCAUGUCAGCUGAGAUCUAUACAAGCAUUAUUCUGUUCAAAGACAGGGAUGGUAUGAUUUUAUCCAGGUCAUGAUAAUCUAGUUUUCUUCUGAACCAUUAUGCCUUGUUGGUUUCCUUUCUCUGUAAUCAGGUAGCUCUUGUGAUCGGAAAAGAAGACAUCUUGGUUUGCUUUCCCUGAAUCAAACUGAGGAGGAAUCUUAUGAUUUAUGGGAAAUCUUGAGGUGUGUAAAUUGGGACUUUUCUCAGACCUUUCAGAACCGAGUCAAGACAAGCCCUUCCUUCGAAAACCGCGGGUGGCUCUGUGGCUCACAAGGAAGGAGGAGAUUUUGAAUUCUUGUCUGGAUUCUCAUCAAAGUUAAAGGAAUUUCCAAGAGCAAUGGGAUGGGUUAGUUCUGGUGGAAAAAAAGGAAAACGUGGGGAAAGUAACUUCUAUGAGAAGCAAAGGUCAAGAUAUAGCAAGGGGCAAAAAGGAAGGAAAUAUGAUUUUGGCAAAAGCAAAGUGCAGCGACGGAGAUACGAUUCAUGGAAGCUACAGAACUGCUUCCCAAGAUCCCAUCCCAUCAUUUGCUACUCCUAUUUUCCACACCAGCUCGCCUCCAUUGAAAGACUUUUCAUUUUGAAAAGUCCCGUUUAGGCUACUAAUGGUCCCAGCAGUCAAAUAAUCCUUGUGACUAGGCCACUACAAACUUUCCACUGGUUGGGAAACCAUGUUACAAGGAAUCAUUCUUGAAAAACGGAAAGAAAGGUUAAAUAAACGGAUCUGUUGCUCUCGUCCUUCAAUAUUUUAAUGCAAAAUUUCAGCUAUUUUUGUUUAUAAA